RNAcentral lists this ribosomal RNA (810 nucleotides) under uncultured bacterium. RNAcentral's name for it is "bacterial SSU rRNA". It matches the Rfam family "Bacterial small subunit ribosomal RNA", at positions 57 to 918 of the family's 1533-position model. The record is from RNAcentral.
GCAAGUCGAGCGCGCCCUUCGGGGUGAGCGGCGGACGGGUGAGUAACGCGUGGGAACGUGCCCUUUGCUGUGGAAUAGCCACUGGAAACGGCGAGUAAUACCGCAUGAGCCCUUCGGGGGAAAGAUUUAUCGGCAAGGGAUCGGCCCGCGUUGGAUUAGGUAGUUGGUGGGGUAAUGGCCCACCAAGCCGACGAUCCAUAGCUGGUUUCAGAGGGUGAUCAGCCACACUGGGACUGAGACACGGCCCAGACUCCUACGGGAGGCAGCAGUGGGGAAUCUUAGACAAUGGGCGCAAGCCUGAUCUAGCCAUGCCGCGUGAGUGACGAAGGCCCUAGGGUCGUAAAGCUCUUUCGCCUGUGAAGAUAAUGACGGUAGCAGGUAAAGAAACCCCGGCUAACUCCGUGCCAGCAGCCGCGGUAAUACGGAGGGGGUUAGCGUUGUUCGGAAUUACUGGGCGUAAAGCGCGCGUAGGCGGACCAUCAAGUUGGGGGUGAAAUCCCGGGGCUCAACCCCGGAACUGCCUCCAAAACUGGCGGUCUGGAGUUCGAGAGAGGUGAGUGGAAUUCCGAGUGUAGAGGUGAAAUUCGUAGAUAUUCGGAGGAACACCAGUGGCGAAAGCGGCUCACUGGCUCGAGACUGACGCUGAGGUGCGAAAGUGUGGGGAGCAAACAGGAUUAGAUACCCUGGUAGUCCACACCGUAAACGAUGAAUGCCAGUCGUCGGCAAGCAUGCUUGUCGGUGACACACCUAACGGAUUAAGCAUUCCGCCUGGGGAGUACGGCCGCAGGUUACACUCAAUGAUUGACGGAG